Molecule: ribosomal RNA, 418 nt
Filed under: uncultured microorganism
Description: bacterial SSU rRNA
Rfam family: Bacterial small subunit ribosomal RNA
Source: RNAcentral
GAGUUUGAUCAUGGCUCAGAUUGAACGCUGGCGGCAUGCCUUACACAUGCAAGUCGAACGGCAGCAUGAUCUAGCUUGCUAGAUUGAUGGCGAGUGGCGAACGGGUGAGUAAUACAUCGGAACGUGCCCUGUAGUGGGGGAUAACUAGUCGAAAGAUUAGCUAAUACCGCAUACGACCUGAGGGUGAAAGUGGGGGACCGCAAGGCCUCAUGCUAUAGGGGCGGCCGAUGUCUGAUUAGCUAGUUGGUGGGGUAAAGGCCCACCAAGGCGACGAUCAGUAGCUGGUCUGAGAGGACGAUCAGCCACACUGGGACUGAGACACGGCCCAGACUCCUACGGGAGGCAGCAGUGGGGAAUUUUGGACAAUGGGCGAAAGCCUGAUCCAGCAAUGCCGUGUGUGUGAAGAAGGCCUCGGUGU